Molecule: ribosomal RNA, 2341 nt
Filed under: human oral metagenome
Description: bacterial LSU rRNA
Rfam family: Bacterial large subunit ribosomal RNA
Source: RNAcentral
AGGGCGUACGGUGGAUGCCUUGGCGAUAUCAGCCGAAGAAGGACGCGGUAAGCUGCGAUAAGCUACGGAGAGGUGCAAGCAACCUGUGACCCGUAGAUAUCCGAAUGGGGGAACCCGGCAGUGGUUAUGCACUGUCACCCAUAGCAUAGACUAUGAGGAGGGCACCCGGGGAACUGAAACAUCUAAUUACCCGGAGGAACAGUAAUCAAACGAGAUUUUCUUAGUAGCGGCGAGCGAACGGGAAAGAGGCCAAACCGGAGCGGGCAACCGCACCGGGGUUGAGGACAGUCAUCAAGUGUAAAUGAGGUAGAAGAAUCGAGCUGGAAAGCUCAGCCGUAGAAGGUGAAAGCCCUGUAAUCGAAACCUUGCAUACAUGGGACUGUAUCCAGAGUACCACGAGACACGUGAAACCUUGUGGGAAGCAGGGGGGACCACCCUCCAAGCCAAAAUACUGAUAUCGACCGAUAGCGCAUAGUACCGUGAGGGAAAGGUGAAAAGAACCCCUGGCGGGGAGUGAAAGAGAACCUGAAACCGUAUGUCUACAAACAGUCGAAGUCUGUAUAUAUAUCAGGACGACGGCGUGCCUAUUGAAGAAUGAACCGACGAGUUACUGUUGCUAGCGAGGUUAAGUGGAACACAUGGAGCCGCAGCGAAAGCGAGUCUGAACAGGGCGUUCAGUUAGUAAUAGUAGACCCGAAACCGUAGUGAUCUAUCCAUGGCCAGGUUGAAGCACAGGUAAAAUUGUGUGGAGGACCGAACUCGUGAGCGUUGAAAAGCUUUGGGAUGAGUUGUGGAUAGGGGUGAAAUGCCAAUCGAACACGGAGAUAGCUGGUUCUCCCCGAAAUAGCUUUAGGGCUAGCCUCGAGGUAGAGAGUAUAGGCGGUAGAGCACUGAUCGGGCUAGGGGCCAUACCGGUUACCGAACCUAGUCAAACUACGAAUGGCUAUACUUAUACUCGGGAGUCAGACAGUGAAUGAUAAGGUCCAUUGUCAAGAGGGAAACAGCCCAGAACACCGACUAAGGUCCCCAAUGUUACACUAAGUGGCGAAGGAUGUGGAAUUUCCAAAACAACCAGGAUGUUGGCUUAGAAGCAGCCACCAUUUAAAGAGUGCGUAAUAGCUCACUGGUCGAGAGACUCUGCGCCGAAAAUGUCCGGGGCUAAAGUGUAAAACCGAAGUCGUGUCAUAUGCAGCAAUGUAUAUGGGUAGGGGAGCGUUCUCAUCGGGCUGAAGCAGUACCGUAAGGAGUUGUGGACUGAUGAGAAGUGAGAAUGUCGGUAUGAGUAGCGAAAAGAAUGGUGAGAAUCCAUUCCACCGAAAGCCUAAGGGUUCCUGAGCAACGAUCGUCGUCUCAGGGUAAGUCGGGACCUAAGCCGAGGCGGAAAAGCGUAGGCGAUGGACAACAGGUUGAAAUUCCUGUACCGGUGUGAAUCGUUUGAUCGAUGGAGUGACACAGUAAGGUAGGUCAGCACGCGAUUGGAAGUGCGUGUUUAAGCAGGUAGGUUGAGCUAUAGGCAAAUCCGUAGCUCUAAAAGCUGAGAUGUGAUGACGAGUGACUAGCAAUAGUCGCGAAGUGAUUGAUCCUACACUGUCGAGAAAAGCUUCUAGGUAGAGACACAUCGCCCGUACCAAAACCGACACAGGUAGGCGGGGAGAGAAUCCUAAGGUGCGCGGGAAAACCCUCGUUAAGGAACUCGGCAAAAUGCCUCCGUAACUUCGGGAAAAGGAGGACUCAUGUAGUGUGAAGAGCAGAAGCGCUUGGAGCAUGAAUGAGUGGCACAAGAGAGGCGCAAGCGACUGUUUACCACAAACACAGGUGCCUGCUAAAGCGAAAGCUGAUGUAUAGGUGCUGACACCUGCCCGGUGCUGGAAGGUUAAGAGGAGGGGUUAGACUUCGGUCGAAGCUCUGAAUUGAAGCCCCAGUAAACGGCGGCCGUAACUAUAACGGUCCUAAGGUAGCGAAAUUCCUUGUCGGGUAAGUUCCGACCCGCACGAAAGGUGUAACGACUUGCGCACUGUCUCAACGAGGGACCCGGUGAAAUUGAAGUACCUGUGAAGAUGCAGGUUACCCGCGACUGGACAGAAAGACCCCAUGGAGCUUUACUGCAACCUAAGAUUGAACUUAGUUAAUGAAUGUACAGGAUAGGUGGGAGACGUAGAACCUAGGACGCUAGUUUUAGGGGAGUCGCUGUUGGGAUACCACCCUUUCAUUAAUUGAUUUCUAACGGGCCGAGUAACGACCGGCCGGACAGUCUUAGGCGGGCAGUUUGACUGGGGCGGUCGCCUCCUAAAGAGUAACGGAGGCGCCCAAAGGUUCCCUCAGAGCGGACGGAAAUCGCUCG